Molecule: ribosomal RNA, 930 nt
Filed under: Staphylococcus aureus
Lineage: Bacteria; Bacillati; Bacillota; Bacilli; Caryophanales; Staphylococcaceae
Description: bacterial SSU rRNA
Rfam family: Bacterial small subunit ribosomal RNA
Source: RNAcentral
CUGAUGUUAGCGGCGGACGGGUGAGUAACACGUGGAUAACCUACCUAUAAGACUGGGAUAACUUCGGGAAACCGGAGCUAAUACCGGAUAAUAUUUUGAACCGCAUGGUUCAAAAGUGAAAGACGGUCUUGCUGUCACUUAUAGAUGGAUCCGCGCUGCAUUAGCUAGUUGGUAAGGUAACGGCUUACCAAGGCAACGAUGCAUAGCCGACCUGAGAGGGUGAUCGGCCACACUGGAACUGAGACACGGUCCAGACUCCUACGGGAGGCAGCAGUAGGGAAUCUUCCGCAAUGGGCGAAAGCCUGACGGAGCAACGCCGCGUGAGUGAUGAAGGUCUUCGGAUCGUAAAACUCUGUUAUUAGGGAAGAACAUAUGUGUAAGUAACUGUGCACAUCUUGACGGUACCUAAUCAGAAAGCCACGGCUAACUACGUGCCAGCAGCCGCGGUAAUACGUAGGUGGCAAGCGUUAUCCGGAAUUAUUGGGCGUAAAGCGCGCGUAGGCGGUUUUUUAAGUCUGAUGUGAAAGCCCACGGCUCAACCGUGGAGGGUCAUUGGAAACUGGAAAACUUGAGUGCAGAAGAGGAAAGUGGAAUUCCAUGUGUAGCGGUGAAAUGCGCAGAGAUAUGGAGGAACACCAGUGGCGAAGGCGACUUUCUGGUCUGUAACUGACGCUGAUGUGCGAAAGCGUGGGGAUCAAACAGGAUUAGAUACCCUGGUAGUCCACGCCGUAAACGAUGAGUGCUAAGUGUUAGGGGGUUUCCGCCCCUUAGUGCUGCAGCUAACGCAUUAAGCACUCCGCCUGGGGAGUACGACCGCAAGGUUGAAACUCAAAGGAAUUGACGGGGACCCGCACAAGCGGUGGAGCAUGUGGUUUAAUUCGAAGCAACGCGAAGAACCUUACCAAAUCUUGACAUCCUUUGACAACUCUA